Molecule: long non-coding RNA, 553 nt
Filed under: Numida meleagris (helmeted guineafowl)
Lineage: Eukaryota; Metazoa; Chordata; Aves; Galliformes; Numididae
Description: lncRNA (ENSNMEG00000014036.1)
Source: RNAcentral
AGAUGCCUUUAGUUUCCUGCUUUAUAUUUCAGGUGUGUAUUUGCAGCUAAUUAAAGCCCAUCCCCUGGGCUGCAGCUGGUGGCUUUACAAAUGGAAGGAAAGUGCCUGCAGCAUAGUAGCUAGUGUAAUGUCUGUUUGAAUUUGGAAAUGUUUAACCUACCUCAAUAGUAGAUGAAGUGUUUUAUAGCGUGUGGUCCACGGGAACACUUAAAAUGAAUUUCUGCAUGCUGGAAUGCUCUUUCAGUGCAUUGAAAGAGGUGAAGGUGGUGAUUAAAGCAAAUUGGAAAGCCCUGGGCACUCUUAUUGCUUCAGCCUCAGGGCUGUGCAGAUGACUUCUUUGCUUCUCAGCAACCAGUAACAAUACGUGGAAACAACGAUUUCUAAUGAAAACCGUCAGUAUUCAAAAUAGGCGAAGCCUCUUGUUCUAUUCAUGUUCCAUGUGAAACUUGAAGUCCCAUUGAAGGCUGCAGUGGUGCAAAAAGCUCUUCCUCUGUGGAAAAUUCAGAUCAGAAAGAAUCCGAGAAAAAUACUUGAGGAAAGCUUCUUGCUCUGA